Molecule: non-coding RNA, 265 nt
Organism: Plectropomus leopardus (leopard coralgrouper)
Lineage: Eukaryota; Metazoa; Chordata; Actinopteri; Perciformes; Serranidae
Source: RefSeq, a predicted model, not a curated record
AUGAGGACAGUCUGCUCCGAGAGCUCGUGGACAAGCUGAGGAUCGGAAACUUCAUCCCAUACACGCAGAUGAGUUAUUUUAUGGAGGGUCGGGACCCGGCUCAGCUGAUCUACAGGUGGAACCAGGUUUUAGACCCGAGCCUGAAGAAAGGAAUGUGGACCAAAGAGGAGGACGAGCUGCUGCUGAAGGCCGUGGCUCGCUGUGGAGAGAAGAACUGGUGGAAGAUCCGGCUGGAGGUUCCUGGACGCACCGACUCUGGCUGCAG